This 614-nucleotide long non-coding RNA is filed under the name Oryza sativa (Asian cultivated rice). RNAcentral's name for it is "long non-coding RNA (OSAT_LNC001617)". The record is from RNAcentral. Lineage: Eukaryota; Viridiplantae; Streptophyta; Magnoliopsida; Poales; Poaceae.
GUGUCCACUCCUCUUGGCUUCAACCUCUUAAAGAGGAGGUGGAUAAUUUAUGGGUGUCGUGUUGGGUGUGUGAGGCUUUCGCCUAGAACAAACCUUGUGUUGCAUGUGCCGUUCUAUCCCAUAUGCUGGGGCUGUGUAUAACUGUACAUCAACUAUUGAGCAAUGAGCUAUAUGCUGUACUGCCAGGGAUGCUAUGGUAAACUACAAGUGAAUAUGUGAUAUGUCUGAUCAUUCGUAUGGAUUAUGGACUAUGAAAACGUCCUGAUGAGCAGAAUCCAAUCAGAAAACGCAUGCUCGAUUUUCCAUUCCUUAGCAUAAGAAAAGCAUGCUAGCUCAAUAGUCAGUACAGUACCCACUACCCAGAGACGUCAGGAUGCUGAUUGCGAAUUUUUUGAAUUGCCGAGCUCCGACCACGCCUAACACGAGUCUUGGCACGAGGUGGAAGUCGCGCCUUUUGAGCAUAAUCCCAUUCUGUCCUUCAGCGCAGCGAGCAGACUACUAGUAGUAAUUUUAUUUUAGGAGAAAAGCAAACUGCCAAUACUAAUUUAGUCAUAAUUUUCUCACAUCAGAGUAUUGGACUAUCUAAACCCAUCCCUAGUAGCUCCAAAUUCCAA